Molecule: small nuclear RNA, 103 nt
Organism: Pteropus vampyrus (large flying fox)
Lineage: Eukaryota; Metazoa; Chordata; Mammalia; Chiroptera; Pteropodidae
Source: Ensembl
UUCACUUCGGCAGCAAUCUACUAAAAUUGGAAUGAUAGAGAGAAGCUUAGCAUGGCCCCUGUGCAAGGAUGACAUGAAAAUCCCUGAGGCAUUCUAUAUUUUG